This 513-nucleotide non-coding RNA is filed under the name Cryptosporidium parvum. Lineage: Eukaryota; Apicomplexa; Conoidasida; Eucoccidiorida; Cryptosporidiidae. The record is from RNAcentral.
UCCAAAGCGAAAAGUUAUUCUUUGAAAAUCCUACUUUUAAAUCGCUUUGUAUUUGACAAUCUGGUGAGCAUGGAUUUAAUGGCUUUGAAUUGAAAAAUAAUAUGGUUCUCGCAAUGCAAGAUGCUGAAAUUGACGAGAAGAAGUUUUCGGAAUUUAAGUCACUAGUAUAAACAUCUGACCAAGUAAAAAUAUCGGAGCACAUAAUGAUAUCAGCGCAGUUACCAAUAAAUGGAAUGUAAUUCUCCUGAAGCAAUAAAAUUAAUGAGCUAUCCUCUAAUCCUGAAUAAAGCAAUAGCUCUUCUAUGUCAAAUGUUAGCUUUCCUUUUAAGAAAUCUUGUUGAGUAAUAUGAAUAUUUAAAAAAUGCUCAUUUAUGUCUUUAAAGCCUUCACAAUAAUACGCACAAUGCAAAUUAUUCUCAUUAUUAAUAUAUUCUACUAAUCCAGCUCUAUUAUUCCAGGCAUUCAAAAAUUCUGAAUCAAUUUUUGUACGUUUUGUACAUGCGUUUUGUAGGG